AGGCGGUUCUCUAAGAGGCCCGCUAUCGGAAUGGGUACAAUUUAAACCCUUUAACGAGGACCUAUGAGAGGGCAAGUCUGGUGCCAGCAGCCGCGGUAAUUCCAGCUCUCAAGGUGUAUAUCGCCAUUGCUGCGGUUAAAAAGCUCGUAGUUGGAUCUGCGCCUUCGGACUCGGUCCUCCCAACGGGUGCGAACUGAGCUCCAAGGCUACUACUGCUGGUUUUCCCUUGAUGCUCUUCACUGGGUGUCUUGGGUGGCUAGCGAGUUUACUUUGAAAAAAUUAGAGUGCUCAAAACAGGCUAUUGCCUGAAUACCGGUGCAUGGAAUAAUAGAAUAGGAUCUCGGUCCUAUUUUGUUGGUUUUCGGAACUGAGAUAAUGGUUAAGAGGGACAGACGGGGGCAUUCGUAUCGCUGCGUGAGAGGUGAAAUUCUUGGACCGCAGCGAGACGCCCAACUGCGAAAGCAUUUGCCAAGAAUGUCUUCGUUAAUCAAGAACGAAAGUCAGAGGUUCGAAGGCGAUCAGAUACCGCCCUAGUUCUGACCGUAAACGAUGCCAACUAGCGAUCCGCCGGUGGUAAUUACGCCCCGGCGGGGAGCUUCCCGGAAACGAAAGUCUUCCGGUUCCGGGGGAAGUAUGGUUGCAAAGCUGAAACUUAAAGGAAUUGACGGAAGGGCGCCACCAGGAGUGGAGCUUGCGGCUUAAUUUGACCCAACACGGGAAAACUCACCCGGCCCGGACACCGUAAGGAUUGACAGAUUGAGAGCUCUUUCUUGAUUCGGUGGUUGGUGGUGCAUGGCCGUUCUUAGUUGGUGGAGCGAUUUGUCUGGUUUAUUCCGAUAACGAACGAGACUCUGGCCUACUAACUAGUGACAGAAUUAUUGCUGUUCUGGUUACUUCUUAGAGGGACAAGUGGUGUUCAGCCACACGAAAUUGAGCAAUAACAGGUCUGUGAUGCCCUUAGAUGUCCGGGGCUGCACGCGUGCUACACUGGAGGAAACAGCAUGCAAAACCAUUGCCGAGAGGCAUUGGUAAACCCAAGAAAAUCUUCCGUGAUCGGGAUCGGGAAUUGCAAUUAUUUCCCUUGAACGAGGAAUUCCCAGUAAGUGUGGGUCAUCAGCUCGCGCUGAUUACGUCCCUGCCCUUUGUACACACCGCCCGUCGCUGCCCGGGACUGAGCCGUUUCGAGAAAAGCGGGGACUGCUGCUGUCGGGGCUUUCGGGCCUUGGCUUCGGUGGAAACCGCUUUAAUCGCAGUGGCUUGAACCGGGCAAAAGUCGUAACAAGGUUUCCGUAGGUGAACCUGCGGAAG
Molecule: ribosomal RNA, 1308 nt
Filed under: metagenome
Description: SSU rRNA
Rfam family: Eukaryotic small subunit ribosomal RNA
Source: RNAcentral